GCUGGCGGCGGCUUAACACAUGCAAGUCGAGCGCCCCGCAGGGGAGCGGCAGACGGGUGAGUAACGCGUGGGAAUCUACCCAACUCUACGGAAUAACUCAGGGAAACUUGUGCUAAUACCGUAUACGCCCUUCGGGGGAAAGAUUUAUCGGAGUUGGAUGAGCCCGCGUUGGAUUAGCUAGUUGGUGGGGUAAAGGCCUACCAAGGCGACGAUCCAUAGCUGGUCUGAGAGGAUGAUCAGCCACAUUGGGACUGAGACACGGCCCAAACUCCUACGGGAGGCAGCAGUGGGGAAUAUUGGACAAUGGGCGCAAGCCUGAUCCAGCCAUGCCGCGUGUGUGAUGAAGGCCUUAGGGUUGUAAAGCACUUUCACCGGAGAAGAUAAUGACGGUAUCCGGAGAAGAAGCCCCGGCUAACUUCGUGCCAGCAGCGCCGGGUAAUAA
RNAcentral lists this ribosomal RNA (442 nucleotides) under Rhizobiales bacterium K20. RNAcentral describes it as "bacterial SSU rRNA". It matches the Rfam family "Bacterial small subunit ribosomal RNA", at positions 35 to 526 of the family's 1533-position model. Lineage: Bacteria; Pseudomonadati; Pseudomonadota; Alphaproteobacteria; Hyphomicrobiales. The record is from RNAcentral.